RNAcentral lists this ribosomal RNA (254 nucleotides) under uncultured bacterium. RNAcentral describes it as "partial 16S ribosomal RNA". It matches the Rfam family "Bacterial small subunit ribosomal RNA", at positions 524 to 776 of the family's 1533-position model. The record is from RNAcentral.
UACGUAGGCAGCAAGCGUUGUUCGGAGUUACUGGGCGUAAAGGGUGCGUAGGCGGGUCUUUAAGUCAGGGGUGAAAUCCUGGAGCUCAACUCCAGAACUGCCUUUGAUACUGAAGAUCUUGAGUCCGGGAGAGGUGAGUGGAACUGCGAGUGUAGAGGUGAAAUUCGUAGAUAUUCGCAAGAACACCAAGUGGCGAAGGCGGGUCUCUGGGCCGAUAACUGACGCUGAGGAGCGAAAGCGUGGGAGCGAAGAGG